RNAcentral lists this transfer RNA (61 nucleotides) under Thermomonospora curvata. RNAcentral's name for it is "tRNA-Ser". The record is from RNAcentral. Lineage: Bacteria; Bacillati; Actinomycetota; Actinomycetes; Streptosporangiales; Thermomonosporaceae. RNAcentral also lists the same sequence under 1 other name.
CAGGCAGCGGUUACUUCCGCUUAUAACGGAGAGGUCAUGGGUUCGAUUCCCAUCCGCCCGA